AGAAAUAGAGGAAAUUGGUGUUGGGAUUUAAUAAUUCUGUCUUCUGAAGAGGCAAGAAUUCUUUGUUCUCGGAACUCUCCUCCAAAUUUGUAUAUAUUUGGCUGGCGCAGUACUGAACUGUUAAAGAAAGACAACAACGACCUUUCCACCUCUAAGACAACAACUACAUUUCCAUUUAUUUGCUCUUCACACCAAAAGUCAGAAACACAAAGAAAACCAAUCCAUUCCAAUCCAAAUAUCAGAAUUCAAACCCAGAAUUGAGUCUUGGUAGCAACUGAACAGAAAACCAUGACAAAGAAAGCAGUGUUGAUAGGCU
Molecule: long non-coding RNA, 316 nt
Filed under: Populus trichocarpa (black cottonwood)
Lineage: Eukaryota; Viridiplantae; Streptophyta; Magnoliopsida; Malpighiales; Salicaceae
Description: long non-coding RNA (PTRI_LNC002121)
Source: RNAcentral